This 72-nucleotide non-coding RNA is filed under the name Oxyrrhis marina. The record is from RNAcentral. Lineage: Eukaryota; Dinophyceae; Oxyrrhinales; Oxyrrhinaceae.
AUUGAUCGGGCUGGUGCGAUCCCUGCUCGAUGAAAUCAAGGCAAUUGAGCUGGAGCUCUUGGGCUACUAGGC